GGUUGACCUCGGAUCAGGUAGGGAUACCCGCUGAACUUAAGCAUAUCAAUAAGCGGAGGAAAAGAAACCAACCGGGAUUGCCCCAGUAACGGCGAGUGAAGCGGCAAGAGCUCAAAUUUGAAAUCUGGCCCCCCCGGGGUCCGAGUUGUAAUUUGCAGAGGAUGCUUCGGGUGCGGCCCCCGUCUAAGUGCCCUGGAACGGGCCGUCAGAGAGGGUGAGAAUCCCGUCCUGGGCGGGGAGUCCGCGCCCGUGUGAAGCUCCUUCGACGAGUCGAGUUGUUUGGGAAUGCAGCUCUAAAUGGGUGGUAAAUUUCAUCUAAAGCUAAAUACCGGCCGGAGACCGAUAGCGCACAAGUAAAUGAUCGAAAGAUGAAAAGCACUUUGAAAAGAGAGUUAAACAGCACGUGAAAUUGUUGAAAGGGAAGCGCUUGCGACCAGACUCGCCCCCGGGGUUCAGCCGGCACUCGUGCCGGUGCACUCCCCGUCGGGCGGGCCAGCGUCGGUUUGGGCGGCCGGUCAAAGGCCUCCGGAAUGUGUCGCCCUCCGGGGCGUCUUAUAGCCGGGGGUGCAAUGCGGCCAGCCCGGACCGAGGAACGCGCUUCGGCACGGACGCUGGCGUAAUGGUCGUAAACGACC
RNAcentral lists this ribosomal RNA (635 nucleotides) under Aspergillus bisporus. RNAcentral's name for it is "eukaryotic LSU rRNA". It matches the Rfam family "Eukaryotic large subunit ribosomal RNA", at positions 1 to 649 of the family's 3401-position model. Lineage: Eukaryota; Fungi; Ascomycota; Eurotiomycetes; Eurotiales; Aspergillaceae. The record is from RNAcentral.